RNAcentral lists this long non-coding RNA (1172 nucleotides) under Ananas comosus (pineapple). RNAcentral describes it as "long non-coding RNA (ACOM_LNC004117)". The record is from RNAcentral. Lineage: Eukaryota; Viridiplantae; Streptophyta; Magnoliopsida; Poales; Bromeliaceae.
AAUUAUGAUGAAGGUGGCGAAAGUGACAAUGUACUGGUGUCGACGAUAACAAUAUGCUACGAUGUACUGGUGCUAGCGAUAGGGACAUAUAAGAAAGAAUAUUACUAAAAAUAAUAUUUGAGAAAAAUAUAGGUGAAAAUAAAAAAGAUAUUACUAAAAAAAUAUGUCUACAAAAAAAUAUAUUCUGUGUGUGAAUAAAUAUUAUGAUGAGAUAAAGAUUGGAUAGUGUAGAUAUUAUAUGCGAGUGCAUUAAGAUAUGUUCUAUAUUUGAAAAACGCAUAAGAUAUUUUGGAGGAUAUUAUUUUUGAAUAUUUUACUAAUAAAAAUUUAAAAAUAUAAAAUUAUAUUUAAUUAAUAAUUUAGUUUUUCAGGUGGGUAUUAAAUCUUUUUAGUAAUAUUUUACGUGAUUGGCGCUAUGUGUGAGAAAGAAAAUAUUUGAAAAACACGUAAAUAGGAGAUAACGGAUAUUUUAAUUUAGAAAAAACUUCAAAAACCCCCCUAUGGUUUCGCAGUUUCUCACUUUGCCCUCCUAUGGUUUAAAAUGUAUCAAUUUGCCCCCCUGUGAUUUUUUUUCCUUUUUUCUUAUCAAUUUCAUUAUUUUUUUUUAAAUUAGUGAUAAAGUUAAAAUUAAAGGGUACUAAAGUGAAUAUUUGAUAAAUCUAGAUGGGUAUUUGAAGUUUUUUAUAUAUAAUUUAAUGAAAUAUUAACGAAAAAGCUACCGAAAAGAUAAAAACCAAACCACAAGGGGGCCAAUUGAAACAUGUUAAACCAUAGGGGGACAAAGUGAGAAACUACAAAACCACAGGGGUUUUUUUGAAGUUUUUUCUUUAAUUUAUGAAGCGUUUGAGAAAGGCCAAUUUGCAUAAAAAAUCCACUUAUUUUGGGCUUUUGCAAAAUCGGGCCAUCUUUUUGGUUUUGGCAGAUUCGGUCCGCUUUUUCAGCAAACUGACCAAAAUACCCUUAUACCUUUUUCUCUUUCCUCUUUCUCUCUCCUCUUUUUUUCUCUCGUUCUUUUUUCUUUUUCUUCCCAGAGAGCGGCGAAAACGGAGCAGAGGUGCCCUUAUACCUUUUUCUUUUCUUUUUUUUCUCUCGUUCUUUUUUUUCUUUCUCUUCCUAGAGAGCGGCGAAGACAGAGCGGCGUCGCCGCCGGCGCCCCCACCUUCCUCGCCUCC